CAGGACUGGGCCUGUGGAAAUCGGUAUAACAGAUACCAGUUGCUGAUCAUCGCUCGACACACAGGCCUUCCAGCUCCAUUGGGUAGAAAAGAAAAGAAGCUUCCCAGGGCAUGAGACCUCUGCCAGCAGGUGUUACCCAGCCUCAUGGCCCUUCAUCACUCCCAGAAACAAGAGGGCGGUCCACACAAGGAACAGCGGGUUUCUUCCAAGCUCAGCACAUCAAUGGCCUCACCUUCUCUCCGCUCUAGCCUCUCUGUUCUUCCUGUCUUCAAAAGCAAGCGCUGCCACUUUCAAGAAGAGCAGGUUUCAUUCAAAGACAAGCUUUGCUUCCCAGUUUAAUCAACAGAUUCAAUAAAGUUGCUCCAGUCGGCACGGGCUGUACCAUGCUGAGUGUUCCAAGUCUUUCCACUAGAUGUCGCUGUGGAUCCCUGUUUGACUGGCUUCAUCGAGCAGCUGAGGCAUCACUGAGCGUCCCAGUGUCCAAAGGAAACAACACUUGUCUCUGUCUGACAUUGUAUCCAGUGUGUGCAAUGUCCUAGAGAUUUGAAGAGAGACUGAAUAUCUGUGGCUCCACAUGCCUAUUCUCCAAUGCCAACAAGAUGCUUUGAUUUCUGAUUCCUGAUGCUUUGAUUUUCUGAUCUCUGUCCAAGCGAUCUUCUACUUUCGUUUUUCUGUGUGUAAUAUUAUUCACUAGAGAUG
Long non-coding RNA from Electrophorus electricus (electric eel), 699 nucleotides. RefSeq lists it as uncharacterized. The record is from RefSeq and is a predicted model, not a curated record. NCBI's taxonomy places the organism in Eukaryota, Metazoa, Chordata, Actinopteri, Gymnotiformes, Gymnotidae.